GUGGUACACUUUUUGAGGAGUUUACACCAAGGCCGUUGCAUGCUCGAAAUGAUUGGUCUUUAGUUGAGUCCCGUUACAUCUCCACCAAUUGUCAAGCUAGGGGAAUACGUUCUGUAUACCCUAAGCUUCUCCUCCGUUGUCUGGGCCCUGGCAGGAUACGCUCUGCUGACAUCGCACAGCGGACUGUCAGAGAGCGGUAUGAGGAGGUGGAAGUGAUCGUUAGACGUUGCACACGCAGAUCUAACGUUUCACCCGUACAUCCCUUCCCGCUACCUUCCUUGGUUCCCCAGCGACGUCGAGGUCAUCCUGCUGCUCCUACUGUAAGUAGUAGAGCCUUAGAGCAGGAUACCC
Molecule: long non-coding RNA, 351 nt
Organism: Paramisgurnus dabryanus
Lineage: Eukaryota; Metazoa; Chordata; Actinopteri; Cypriniformes; Cobitidae
Source: RefSeq, a predicted model, not a curated record